Molecule: long non-coding RNA, 1649 nt
Filed under: Sus scrofa (pig)
Lineage: Eukaryota; Metazoa; Chordata; Mammalia; Artiodactyla; Suidae
Description: lncRNA (ENSSSCG00060024492.1)
Source: RNAcentral
UUUUUUGUCUUUCUGCCAUUUCUUGGGCCGCUCCCAUAGCAUAUGGAGGUUCCCAGGGCAAGGGUCGAAUCGGAGCUGUAACCACUGGCCUACACCAGAGCCACAGCAACCCGGGAUCCAAGUCUGCAACCUACACCACAGCUCACGGUGAUGCUGGAUCCCCAACCCAUUGAGCAAGGCCGGGGAUCGAACCCACAACCCCAUGAUUCCUAGUCAGAUUCGUUAACCACUGAGCCACGACGGGAACUCUAGUCCCAGUUUAUUUUUGAUGCUCCGAGAUAAUUUUUUUUUUUUUUUUUUGUCUUUUCAGGGCCACACCCAUGGCAUAUGGAGGUUAAGGAUUCGGCAUUGUCACUGCAGUGGCUCAGGUCACUGCUGUGGCAUGGGUUCAGUCCCUGGCCUGUGAACCUCCACAUGCCACAGGUGUGGCCAAAGGAAAAAAAAAAAAAAAAACAAUGCUUAGAGGGAAGUAAGUGCUAAUCCAGAUUUUCAUUCACAACUAAAACAUCAAUCAAGAACAAGAGCUAGGAGUUCCUGCUCUGGUGCAGCGGGUUAAGAAUCCAUCUGCAGCAGUUCAGUUUGCUAAAAAGGCAUGGGUUCAAUCUUUGGCCUGGCACAGUGGGUUAAAGAAUCCAGCAUUGCUGCAGCUGUGGUGUGGGUCACAGCUGCAGCCUGAAUUCAGUCUCUGGCCUGGGAACUUCCAUAUGCUACAAGUGCAGCCAUUUAAAAAAAAAAAAAAGGGCUAAAUAUUUUCAACAAACAAAAAUCCUAAUUUACCACCAACAGACCUUUAGUCAAGGAACUUCUGAAGGAUAUACUUCAUGAAGAAGGAACGUGAUUUCAGAACAAAAGCUAACAAGAAAUUGGUAAACGUGGUGAAGUUAAAUAAAUACGAAUUGUAUAAAAAGAAUAAAAUGCUUAAUAAUGUCCUGAAAAGAACAAGGUAGAAUUAUAAUACUGAACGACUAUAACAAAAGGAGUGAUUCAUCCAUAGUGGCCUUCUUCUGGAAACUUGUCUCUUCUACCACCACACCUCCAACCACCCACUUAAUUACUAACUGAUAUCAAAUUAGCUCAGUGUUGUCCCACACCAUAAAUGAUAGUCCAGAGGUGGGCAACCAGUCCAAGCAGGAACAAACACAAUCUUUAGAAACUACAAAUAGAUUACAAAAGCAAAGAGCAGGAGUCAACAGGUAUACAGUUGUGUUCAUGAAGCACCACAUGCCUUGUUGAUGCCUCCUACUAUUGUCUGAAAUGCUUCCUUCCGCUUUUCUACUUGUCUAAACCAUCUUUGAAGGACCCAGCUUAAGCCUUCCCAUCCCCCUCACCUGGCCAUCCUUCCUUCUAUAAAUGAAACGAAGUGGAAAAUAAUUAACCUCUGUGGACUCUCAGUGUACCAGGAAUUUCACAUACACUACCACUUAACCUUAACUACACUGGAAUGACAGCACUUGCGGUCUCUACACUCAGCACAGCAGUUAUUUUCUUAAAGGAUACUGCCCUACUUAACAGCUUCCUAAACAUUCUAUAUGUUUACAUGUGUUCUCUGUCACCAGAAUAUAACAUUCUCAAAUAUAAGAACUAUGUCUUCCAUGUCAUUCUUACUCCCAUUCAUCUUCUCUACUCCUCCCCUCUCAUUUCGAAAUAUU